Ancylostoma ceylanicum is the source of this 46-nucleotide non-coding RNA. Lineage: Eukaryota; Metazoa; Nematoda; Chromadorea; Rhabditida; Ancylostomatidae. The record is from Rfam.
CCAACGGCCCUCUUUAGGGCCACAAUCUGCUUUUCGUGUACUAAUU